RNAcentral lists this ribosomal RNA (1059 nucleotides) under Leptospora rubella. Its description in RNAcentral is "SSU rRNA". It matches the Rfam family "Eukaryotic small subunit ribosomal RNA", at positions 50 to 1123 of the family's 1831-position model. The record is from RNAcentral. Lineage: Eukaryota; Fungi; Ascomycota; Dothideomycetes.
CAUGCAUGUCUAAGUAUAAGCAAUUAUACCGUGAAACUGCGAAUGGCUCAUUAAAUCAGUUAUCGUUUAUUUGAUAGUACCUUACUACUUGGAUAACCGUGGUAAUUCUAGAGCUAAUACAUGCUGAAAACCCCAACUUCGGGAGGGGUGUAUUUAUUAGAUAAAAAACCAACGCCCUUGGGGCUUUUUGUGAUUCAUGAUAACUUUACGGAUCGCAUGGCCUUGCGCCGGCGACGGUUCAUUCAAAUUUCUGCCCUAUCAACUUUCGAUGGUAAGGUAUUGGCUUACCAUGGUUUCAACGGGUAACGGGGAAUUAGGGUUCGAUUCCGGAGAGGGAGCCUGAGAAACGGCUACCACAUCCAAGGAAGGCAGCAGGCGCGCAAAUUACCCAAUCCCGACACGGGGAGGUAGUGACAAUAAAUACUGAUACAGGGCUCUUUUGGGUCUUGUAAUUGGAAUGAGUACAAUUUAAACCUCUUAACGAGGAACAAUUGGGGGGCAAGUCUGGUGCCACCAGCCGCGGUAAUUCCAGCUCCACUAGCGUAUAUUAAAGUUGUUGCAGUUAAAAAGCUCGUAGUUGAACCUUGGGUCUGGCUGGCAGGUCCGCCUCACCGCGUGUACUUGUCCGGCCGGGCCUUCCUUCUGGGGAACCUCAUGCCCUUCACUGGGCGUGUUGGGGACCAGGACUUUUACUUUGAAAAAAUUAGAGUGUUCAAAGCAGGCCUUUGCUCGAAUACGUUAGCAUGGAAUAAUAGAAUAGGACGUGCGGUCCUAUUUUGUUGGUUUCUAGGACCGCCGUAAUGAUUAAUAGGGACAGUCGGGGGCAUCAGUAUUCAAUUGUCAGAGGUGAAAUUCUUGGAUUUAUUGAAGACUAACUACUGCGAAAGCAUUUGCCAAGGAUGUUUUCAUUAAUCAGUGAACGGAAGUUAGGGGAUCGAAGACGAUCAGAUACCGUCGUAGUCUUAACCGUAAACUAUGCCGACUAGGGAUCGGGCGAUGUUCUUUUCUGACUCGCUCGGCACCUUACGAGAAAUCAAAGUUUUUGGGUUCUGGGGGGAG